ACACACCGGACUUUGUUUCUACACUGCUGCUACUCGCUGUUAAUCAUCUAUGCAUAGUCACUUUAACCCUACCUACAUGUACAAAUGACCUGGACUAACCUGUACCCCGGCACAUUGACUCUGUACCGGUACCUCCUGUAAAUGGCCUCAUUUUAUUAUCAUUUUUAUUGUGUUCUUUUUUGUUGUUGCUUUAGUUUAUUAAUUAUUUAGUCAAAAUGUUCUUAAAUCUAUUUUCUCAAAACGGUAUUGUUGGUAAGUAAGCAUUUCACGGUAAGGUCUACACCUGCUUAAAUACCAUUUGAUUUGAUUUGAUCGGGCGUGGGUGAAGAACCAGGGGUCCGUUCAAAAUGACUCAAGGCAACAGUGAGGCAGAGCAGACAGGACGUGCUAAGAAGAUGAUUUGUCUCAUCAUUAGGGAAUAGGGACAAACCUGUUGUCUCUUCCAGAGCGUGGAAAGAAAACACAAGAAGAAUGUUGCAUGAACACGAGGACAAAACACUGCAGAACUUCAUUUUCCAUCUUCAUGCAGCCUACGGUUAAAUAACUUGGGAAGUUUUCGAAGCAAAGUGCAGUGUAGGCAGAAAAUCCGUCUUGGCUGUGGGUUGUGUUGAUGCGUAUCCAACUCGAUAGAUUCACAACGUGCUGUUCAUGCAGAUCAAGGCUCUACUGUACAUUACACACAUUGAUUUGCCAUUAAGGGACAGAAAGUGUUGCAUAAUAUAAUAACAAUCGAUCAGAAAAAAAAAUGUAGGAUCAGAAUGUGCCGGUAUACACACUUUACUUAAAAACGUCACUUUACACUGGAUCCAACUCCAACUCUACAUGAACACAACAAAGCGUUAGCUAGCGAGAGCCAGAUAACUCAAAGACUUUGUAUACGACACAGAGCACAACACACUGGCUUGUCGAUCAAUCAACAGUUAUCACACAUAGGAGUAGGGCAAUGGGUUCAGUGCCAUUGAGAGCCAGUCAGUCAGUCAGUGAGUGAGUCAGAGCUGGCCCGUCAGAUUACACUGGUCCUUACAACUGGCCUUCAGGUGUUGGCCCGUCAGAUUACACUGGUCCUUACAACUGGCCUUCAGGUGUUGGCCCGUCAGAUUACACUGGUCCUUACAACUGGCCUUCAGGUGUUGGCCCGUCAGAUUACACUGGUCCUUACAACUGGCCUUCAGGUGUUGGCCCGUCAGAUUACACUGGUCCUUACAACUGGCCUUCAGGUGUUGGCCCGUCAGAUUACACUGGUCCUUACAACUGGCCUUCAGGUGUUGGCCCGUCAGAUUACACUGGUCCUUACAACUGGCUGUCAGGUGUUGGCCCGUCAGAUUACACUGGUCCUUACAACUGGCCUUCAGGUGUUGGCCCGUCAGAUUACACUGGUCCUUACAACUGGCCUUCAGGUGUUGGCCCGUCAGAUUACACUGGUCCUUACAACUGGCCUUCAGGUGUUGGCCCGUCAGAUUACACUGGUCCUUACAACUGGCCUUCAGGUGUUGGCCCGUCAGAUUACACUGGUCCUUACAACUGGCCUUCAGGUGUUGGCCCGUCAGAUUACAACUGGC
Oncorhynchus keta (chum salmon) is the source of this 1559-nucleotide long non-coding RNA. RefSeq lists it as uncharacterized. The record is from RefSeq and is a predicted model, not a curated record. The transcript has 3 exons. Lineage: Eukaryota; Metazoa; Chordata; Actinopteri; Salmoniformes; Salmonidae.